UUCCCCUGGUCCAAAGAAGCCACAGGCAACAAUGAGAAUCCACAGCAGUCAGCAAACAAAUUCAGUAGCUUGAAAUUAGAAGCUGGAACUCACCCACCAGAUGUGAGCUCACCCACCUGAAUCUUCGCAAGUUUUAGGAGGAAGGAUUAGAUUGAGCUUCUGCAUUGUCUCAACAAAACUGAUCCAUGUUAUGACUCCAACAGCUGCAACGGAAGACAACCA
Molecule: long non-coding RNA, 222 nt
Filed under: Physcomitrium patens
Lineage: Eukaryota; Viridiplantae; Streptophyta; Bryopsida; Funariales; Funariaceae
Description: long non-coding RNA (PPAT_LNC001526)
Source: RNAcentral